This is a long non-coding RNA of Cimex lectularius (bed bug), 1182 nucleotides long. RefSeq lists it as uncharacterized. The transcript is spliced from 3 exons. Lineage: Eukaryota; Metazoa; Arthropoda; Insecta; Hemiptera; Cimicidae. The record is from RefSeq and is a predicted model, not a curated record.
UAGUUUAUAGUCCUUUAGUUGAAAGGCGCUAGAUAAAUUUGCCGGCUUUAAAAAAGUUUCAGCAAUUCCGAUUAUAUGAUAUGUACCAUCAUUAAAGUACUGGAAGAAUUCAUCCCAAUGAACCGUUAAGUCUUGUGGUUGACGUGGCAGAUAUCAAUGUUUUUGGAGUUUAUUGAUGGUUUGUUGUUAUUUUUUAUUGUCAUCUAGUAUGUGAGCGUAUUUAUUAAAAGUAUAGAUGUCCCUAGCUUUGAAGAUUUUAAUCCAGUAUGUGUUGUGUUGAGAUUGCGAUAACUGAUCUCUCCUCCGCUGUAAACAAAGGGAUUUACGAUAUCCUAUUUUGAGUUCCCGUUCGCCGAGACGCGCCUACGCCUUCGACAACGUUAACGCCUUGUUCCAGUCAUCCAAUUCCAGGUCCAGCCCAGUUCAUUAGGACUCAAGUUGUGAAAACUAACUACCUACACAGAAAAUGGCUAACAGAUCUGAUAUCUGGUACCACUUUAAGAAGCUGGAUGAGAACAACCGGCAGAAAGGGAAGUGCUUUUUUUGUUAAGCAAUUAUUUCAACACGAGGGUCAACAAGUACGCCGCCACCUUAUAAAAAGACACCCUACGAUAAACGUUCAUCGUGAAGCCCAAUCCCGCUCACCAUCAACUCCUGUUCCUCCAGUUGUUCAAUUUACCCAAACUAAUAGAUUGCAAGAAAUUGAAGUUCAGCAUGUGGACUAGCCACUCUCUGUGGCGUUCUUUCAAACACCCUCUUCUUCCAAGGAAGGCUGUUCUUCUCGUUUCACUUAAACCUUUCGGUCUCACCCCUUGUAAUGACAAUACCAUCCCUCCCGUUAGGACAAACUUGCAUAAGAAGUUUUGUUAAUUUAACUCGCCCAAUUACAGUAAUAAAAGCCGAGAAAUUGAUAUACAAUUAUUAAAAAUGAUUUGUUCAGAGUAUCAACCAUUUAGUAUUGUAAAGGACAAAUAAUUUAAAACGUUGGUUAACGUGUUAUAUCCAAAUUAUAAGUUACCAAGUAGGAAAACUCUAUCACAAAGUCUUUUAUCUUCCCUAUGUACCUCCAAUAUUGAGAAAAUUAUACAAUUAUUAGAAAAAACACCGUCUGCUUGUCUGAUUGCAGAUGGUUGGACCAAUAUAAAUACAGUAAAUUUUUAUGCAGUAACUGCACAUUUUUUU